AGGACGAACGCUGGCGGCGUGCUUAACACAUGCAAGUCGAGCGGAAAGGCCCUUCGGGGUACUCGAGCGGCGAACGGGUGAGUAACACGUGAGCAAUCUGCCCUUAGCUUCGGGAUAGCUCCGGGAAACCGGAAUUAAUACCGAAUAUGACUUCGGCCGACAUCGGCCUUGGUGGAAAGUUUUUCGGCUAGGGAUGAACUCGCGGCCUAUCAGCUUGUUGGUGGGGUAAUGGCCUACCAAGGCGACGACGGGUAGCCGGCCUGAGAGGGCGACCGGCCACACUGGGACUGAGACACGGCCCAGACUCCUACGGGAGGCAGCAGUGGGGAAUAUUGCGCAAUGGGCGAAAGCCUGACGCAGCGACGCCGCGUGGGGGAUGAAGGCCUUCGGGUUGUAAACCCCGUUUCAGCAGGGACGAAGCGAAAGUGACGGUACCUGCAGAAGAAGCGCCGGCUAACUACGUGCCAGCAGCCGC
Molecule: ribosomal RNA, 475 nt
Filed under: uncultured bacterium
Lineage: Bacteria
Description: SSU rRNA
Rfam family: Bacterial small subunit ribosomal RNA
Source: RNAcentral